Molecule: ribosomal RNA, 498 nt
Filed under: uncultured bacterium
Lineage: Bacteria
Description: bacterial SSU rRNA
Rfam family: Bacterial small subunit ribosomal RNA
Source: RNAcentral
CGAACGCUAGCGGCGGACUUAAUACAUGCAAGUCGAGCGAGAAAGCACCUUCGGGUGUGAGUAAAGCGGCGGACGGGUGAGUAACACGUGAGUAACCUACCUCUCGGCGGGGGACAACACUUCGAAAGGGGUGCUAAUACCGCAUUCGACUCUUUUAACUUCGGUUUUUUGAGGGAAAGAUGGCCUCUCCAUGGAAGCUGUCACCGAGAGACGGGCUCGCGGCCCAUUAGCUAGUUGGUGAGGUAACGGCUCACCAAGGCUGUGAUGGGUAGCUGGUCUGAGAGGAUGACCAGCCACACUGGGACUGAGACACGGCCCAGACUCCUACGGGAGGCAGCAGUAGGGAAUAUUGGACAAUGGGGGAAACCCUGAUCCAGUCACGCCGCGUGGGUGAUGGAGGCCUUCGGGUCGUAAAGCCUUGUCAGGAAGGACGAAACGGUUUUGUAUUAAUACUACAGGAUCUUGACGCUACUUCCAAAGGAAGCACCGGCUAACUAC